AAUUAAAUUUAUUAGAGUUUUAGCUCAAAGGCAUGAAUUGUACUUGAUGACCGUCAAAGUGGAAUUAAGUGUUUUGCUAGCUAAUUUUGAAGAAAAAUGAGUCUGUAUUGUUAGAUAGUGAAGUUUUGAUUUUCUUGCUCAAUCACUAAAAUAAGAAAAAAACAAAAAGAGAACUGUAAUGUGGAUCUAGUCCAUAUUUACUGCUACCAUCCACCGGCCAUUAAAACGUGAAAACCACAGCACAUAUUGGCAGGGUGCAUCGGGCGGUUCGAAGAAAUUGAUAAGAGUCUCUGUGACGCGGUCCGUCAUCAGCAUAUGAAGAGGACGAAGAGGUAAAAUAGUGAUGUCCAAAGCUAAAGUCUCGACUCCGGCGAGGGGCAUUUGUCGAAAAAUGACAGAUCAUGGCAGAAAAGCCUCGGCCUCGGCAAACUCCAUUUGUCGUCCAAAUGCCGGUGACAGAGGCCGAAGACCUUUCAGCCUAGGGUUUUUGAAGUCGCUGAUUCCAUUUCUAGUGUCAGGUUAUUUGUUGGAGGCCGUUAGGUGGUGGUUUCGACGGUGGCAACAAGGACGAGAGAGAAAGUCAAAAUUUCAAGUCUUUAGUUUGUUGGUUUAAGACCGUUUCUGGUGAAACAAAUGGCAGAAUUAAGUUGGCGACAUCAAGAAGCUACCAGGGCAGAAGUUUCGCGGCCAAUGAUAGGUAUAUUAAGGUAGAGAGUGUGUGAGAAGGAGAUGGGCCAAAAUGUUAUUUUCAUCCUCAUAAAUUUCUAUUAGGUCUCUCCCCUUAUAAACCAUGUGCUUUUAAUAUAUUUA
Molecule: long non-coding RNA, 810 nt
Organism: Ricinus communis (castor bean)
Lineage: Eukaryota; Viridiplantae; Streptophyta; Magnoliopsida; Malpighiales; Euphorbiaceae
Exons: 2
Source: RefSeq, a predicted model, not a curated record